Molecule: ribosomal RNA, 504 nt
Filed under: uncultured bacterium
Lineage: Bacteria
Description: bacterial SSU rRNA
Rfam family: Bacterial small subunit ribosomal RNA
Source: RNAcentral
AAUCAACGCUGGCGGCGUGCCUCAGACAUGCAAGUCGAACGCGAAAGCCUCCUUCGGGGGGCAAGUAGAGUGGCGCACGGGUGAGUAACACGUAGGUAAUCUACCGUUGGAUUGGGAAUAACCACCGGAAACGGUGGCUAAUACCGAAUAAUGCAGCGGCACCUAAUGGUGACAGUUGUUAAAGCGGGGGAUCGCAAGACCUCGCGUCUGAAGAGGAGCCUGCGGCAGAUUGCUAGUUGGUAAGGUAACGGCUUACCAAGGCGAUGAUCUGUAGCCGGCCUGAGAGGGCGGUCGGCCACACUGACACUGACAUACGGGUCAGACUCCUACGGGAGGCAGCAGUCGGGAAUUUUGGGCAAUGGGCGAAAGCCUGACCCAGCAACGCCGCGUGAAGGAUGAAAUCCUUCGGGAUGUAAACUUCGCAAGAACGGGAAGAAUAAGUAAGAGCUAACAUCUCUUACGAUGACGGUACUGUUUGUAAGCUCCGGCUAACUCCGUGCCAGC